GGAUGAAGCCAAGGGGCCAAGGAGGGUCCCUGGCAGGGGAGGGCUGAGGGGGACUGGCUUAACAGAGGGGCAAGCCGCACCUCCAACCCCAGCGAGCUCCUCCAAACUGGCCUUCCUCUCGUGGGCUCUCCUGGCUCCUGAGAAGUCCUCAGCUCUGUCUCAUACCAGGAAGCCUCUAACUCCCAGUGUCACCUUCUUGGCCCAUGAAUUGGGCUCAGGCUUAGGUCACAGCUUGGCCUCAGGGCUCUGUGUGGCU
Molecule: long non-coding RNA, 256 nt
Filed under: Homo sapiens (human)
Lineage: Eukaryota; Metazoa; Chordata; Mammalia; Primates; Hominidae
Description: non-protein coding lnc-PEX14-7:1
Source: RNAcentral